This 486-nucleotide ribosomal RNA is filed under the name Acidithiobacillus ferrooxidans. Its description in RNAcentral is "bacterial SSU rRNA". It matches the Rfam family "Bacterial small subunit ribosomal RNA", at positions 8 to 489 of the family's 1533-position model. The record is from RNAcentral. Lineage: Bacteria; Pseudomonadati; Pseudomonadota; Acidithiobacillia; Acidithiobacillales; Acidithiobacillaceae.
AGAGUUUGAUCCUGGCUCAGAUUGAACGCUGGCGGCAUGCCUAACACAUGCAAGUCGAACGGUAACAGGUCUUCGGAUGCUGACGAGUGGCGGACGGGCUGAGUAAUGCGUAGGAAUCUGUCUUUUAGUGGGGGACAACCCAGGGAAACUUGGGCUAAUACCGCAUGAGCCCUGAGGGGGAAAGCGGGGGAUCUUCGGACCUCGCGCUAAGAGAGGAGCCUACGUCCGAUUAGCUAGUUGGCGGGGUAAAGGCCCACCAAGGCGACGAUCGGUAGCUGGUCUGAGAGGACGACCAGCCACACUGGGACUGAGACACGGCCCAGACUCCUACGGGAGGCAGCAGUGGGGAAUUUUUCGCAAUGGGGGCAACCCUGACGAAGCAAUGCCGCGUGGAUGAAGAAGGCCUUCGGGUUGUAAAGUCCUUUCGUGGAGGACGAAAAGGCGGGUUCUAAUACAAUCUGCUAUUGACGUGUAAUCCAGAGAGCC